This 101-nucleotide microRNA precursor is filed under the name Olea europaea subsp. europaea. The record is from RNAcentral. Lineage: Eukaryota; Viridiplantae; Streptophyta; Magnoliopsida; Lamiales; Oleaceae.
UCAACAGAACUCAGUUGGCAGUAUGCCCACCUCCAUAUAUCAUCAGAAUGAAAUUUCUUAACAGGAAUGGAGGUGGACAGAAUGCCAAUAAAUUCUGGUAG